CCUGAUUUUAUUGUUUGUAUUAUUUUCCUUGUUAUAGGCAAUAUGGAAUUAUUUCAGCUGCUUUCAUUGUCUUCUGCAAAUCUUGAGUAUGGUCCCCAUUUGAUUAUUUGCCUUUGCUAGGUUCUCAUUCCUUUCAACCUUCCUGUAUAAUUUUUACAUCCAUCCUUCCCUUGGUUAUAUGCCUUAUUUGGGGUUCUCGUUCCUUGCAACCUUCCUCACUCAUCUGUAUAAUUUUUAUAUCCAUUCUCUUUUGACUCCUUGAAUACUGCUGGGCUUGUGGCUUUUGCAUCCCUGACCUCGUAAUUGUUAUUGGGUAAAUGGUCUUUGCACUUGAGGUGCUUUGUGGAUACCCUAAAGUUCAUUUUACUUCUUGAGCCAUCUGCCUCUUCUUCUGGUGCCUCUUUAGAUUGUAAUAAUAAGGGGAAAAUAAAUCCUUCGGUUUGGAGUCGACGAAUAUGAUAUGCUUGCUUCUUGUGAGGAAAGGCGAGAAUUUUGGUUGUGCUUGAAUUUGGACUGGCCUAGGGCUGAAAAUGCUUGCUAGCCAAUCUAUUUAAGACCAUACAGCCUUUCGUAGUUUCUGAUGCUCAAUAUUGUUUCCCUACCCUUGCAGAUUUCUCUUGCAGAAGCCAUUUUGCUCAUUUCAGUCAUGUGCUAUGAGCUGUGAUGUCCUCUGGCUGAAACACUUCGUGAUUUGCUGCUUGUGUAGGUGGAUGCAAUUCAGGCUUGUGGAGGUCAGAUGACUGCUGAUGGCAGCCGCUGUCGAAAUGGUGGUGGCAUACUAUGGAAUAUCAUCAAAGCACAAGAACCAAAAGCCUACAAAGAGAUAAUGAAAAAAGUGCAGGAAUUUGAGAAGCAAUUCAAGCCACCAAAUAAUAGACGUGGAGGGGAGCCAAAGAAGGAAGGGGUUUCACCAGGAACCACCCAUUCAUUUGUGGAAGGUACUCCUGCCACUUUUUUCAGAUAAUUCCCAGCCAAUAUCUCAGAUGCAAAAUGAGUAGGCAAAUACUGGUAUUGAAUGAGCGUCUGUUCAUGAUAGCCUAAGGAUCCCAGUCUCUUAUGAUGAUGACCUUCUUGGAGAGGAUACAAAGGGUGAUGCAGCUUGAUUUUUGGAUCAUAGGAACUUUAUAUGGCUUGGUAUUGUAGGUUUCAUUCGCAGAUGAGGUGCCAAAUUAUUGGUGAUAUUUAUGAUGCCAUAGAUGGAGUCAUGGAGCAAAAUGUUGAACCCAUUUCUA
Long non-coding RNA from Quercus robur (English oak), 1232 nucleotides. RefSeq lists it as uncharacterized. The transcript is spliced from 3 exons. The record is from RefSeq and is a predicted model, not a curated record. NCBI's taxonomy places the organism in Eukaryota, Viridiplantae, Streptophyta, Magnoliopsida, Fagales, Fagaceae.